Molecule: ribosomal RNA, 281 nt
Filed under: uncultured Staphylococcus sp.
Lineage: Bacteria; Bacillati; Bacillota; Bacilli; Caryophanales; Staphylococcaceae
Description: partial 16S ribosomal RNA
Rfam family: Bacterial small subunit ribosomal RNA
Source: RNAcentral
CUCCUUUGACGUUAGCGGCGGACGGGUGAGUAACACGUGGGUAACCUACCUAUAAGACUGGGAUAACUUCGGGAAACCGAAGCUAAUACCGGAUAAUAUUUCGAACCGCAUGGUUCGAUAGUGAAAGGUGGUUUUGCUAUCACUUAUAGAUGGACCCGCGCCGUAUUAGCUAGUUGGUAAGGUAACGGCUUACCAAGGCGACGAUACGUAGCCGACCUGAGAGGGUGAUCGGCCACACUGGAACUGAGACACGGUCCAGACUCCUACGGGAGGCAGCAGCC